UACGUAGGGUCCGAGCGUUGUCCGGAAUUACUGGGCGUAAAGAGCUCGUAGGUGGUUUGUCGCGUUGUUCGUGAAAACUCACAGCUUAACUGUGGGCGUGCGGGCGAUACGGGCAGACUUGAGUACUGCAGGGGAGACUGGAAUUCCUGGUGUAGCGGUGGAAUGCGCAGAUAUCAGGAGGAACACCGGUGGCGAAGGCGGGUCUCUGGGCAGUAACUGACGCUGAGGAGCGAAAGCGUGGGGAGCGAACGGG
Molecule: ribosomal RNA, 253 nt
Filed under: uncultured bacterium
Lineage: Bacteria
Description: partial 16S ribosomal RNA
Rfam family: Bacterial small subunit ribosomal RNA
Source: RNAcentral